UACGGGGGGGGCAAGCGUUGUUCGGAAUUACUGGGCGUAAAGGGCUCGUAGGCGGCCAACUAAGUCAGACGUGAAAUCCCUCGGCUUAACCGGGGAACUGCGUCUGAUACUGGAUGGCUUGAGUGUGGGAGAGGGAUGCGGAAUUCCAGGUGUAGCGGUGAAAUGCGUAGAGAUCCGGAGGAACACCGAAGGCGAAGGCAGUGUCCUGGCGAGUGACUGACGCUGAGGUGCGAAAGCCAAGGGAGCGAACGGG
RNAcentral lists this ribosomal RNA (253 nucleotides) under uncultured prokaryote. RNAcentral's name for it is "partial 16S ribosomal RNA". It matches the Rfam family "Bacterial small subunit ribosomal RNA", at positions 524 to 776 of the family's 1533-position model. The record is from RNAcentral.